GAUGAACGCUGGCGGCGUGCCUAAUACAUGCAAGCCGAGCGAACAGACGAGGAGCUUGCUCCUCAGACGAUAACGGCGGAAGGGUGAGUAACACGUGGAUAACCUACCUAUACGACUGGGAUAACUUCGGGAAACCCGCGCUAAUACAGGACAAUAUAUUCAAACCCAUGGUUCACUACUGUAAUGCAGUUUUGCUGUUUCUUGUUGGUGAACCCUCGCCGCAUUAGCUACUUGGUAAGGUAACGCCCUACCAGCGCAACGAUGCGUAGCCGACCUGGUAGGGUGAUCGGCCACACUGGAACUGAGACGCGGUCCAGUCGCCUACGGGAGUCAGCAGUAGGGAAUCGUCCGCUAUGUGCGAAAGCCUGACGGAGCAACGCCGCGUGAGUGAUGAAGGACUUCGGAUCGUAAAACUCUGUUAUUAGGGAAGAACAAAUGUGUAAGUAACUAUGCACGUCUUGGCGGUACCUAAUCAGAAAGCCACGGCUAACUACUU
Molecule: ribosomal RNA, 496 nt
Filed under: uncultured bacterium
Lineage: Bacteria
Description: partial 16S ribosomal RNA
Rfam family: Bacterial small subunit ribosomal RNA
Source: RNAcentral